Molecule: ribosomal RNA, 505 nt
Filed under: uncultured bacterium
Lineage: Bacteria
Description: partial 16S ribosomal RNA
Rfam family: Bacterial small subunit ribosomal RNA
Source: RNAcentral
GACGAACGCUGGCGGCGUGCCUAAUACAUGCAAGUAGAACGCACAGUUUAUACCGUAGCUUGCUACACCAUAGACUGUGAGUUGCGAACGGGUGAGUAACGCGUAGGUAACCUGCCUGGUAGCGGGGGAUAACUAUUGGAAACGAUAGCUAAUACCGCAUAAUAUUAAUUAUUGCAUGAUAAUUAAUUGAAAGGUGCAAUUGCACCACUACCAGAUGGACCUGCGUCGUAUUAGCUAGUAGGUGAGGUAACGGCUCACCUAGGCGACGAUACAUAGCCGACCUGAGAGGGUGAUCGGCCACACUGGGACUGAGACACGGCCCAGACUCCUACGGGAGGCAGCAGUAGGGAAUCUUCGGCAAUGGACGAAAGUCUGACCGAGCAACGCCGCGUGAGUGAAGAAGGGUUUCGGAUCGUAAAGCUCUGUUGUAAGAGAAGAACGGGUGUGAGAGUGGAAAGUUCACACUGUGACGGUAUCUUACCAGAAAGGGACGGCUAACUACGUG